CGGGACUUACUUAGCUUGCUUUGUAAGUUUAGUGGCGGACGGGUGAGUAACACGUGAGCAACCUGCCCAGAAGAAAGGGAUAGCUCGAGGAAACUCGAAUUAAUACCAUAUGUGAUCCUGUGAAGCAUUUCGCAGGAAUGAAAGAUGCCUUCGGGUGUCACUUCUGGAUGGGCUCGCGGCCUAUCAGUUAGUUGGUGAGGUAACGGCUCACCAAGGCAAUGACGGGUAGCUGGUCUGAGAGGACGACCAGUCACACUGGAACUGAGACACGGUCCAGACACCUACGGGUGGCAGCAGUCGAGAAUCAUUCGCAAUGGGGGAAACCCUGACGGUGCGACGCCGCGUGGAGGAUGACGGUCUUCGGAUUGUAAACUCCUGUCAUCGAAGAGUAAGGCUUAUGUAUUAAUAGUAUGUAAGAUUGAUAGUAUUCGAAGAGGAAGGGACGGCUAACUUCGUGCCAGCAGCCGCGGUAAUACGAAGGUCCCAAGCGUUGUUCGGAAUCACUGGGCGUAAAGGGAGCGUAGGCGGUGAGGUAAGUCAGAUGUGAAAUUCCAGGGCUCAACCCUGGAACUGCAUCCGAUACUGCCUUACUAGAGUAGUGGAGGGGCAUCUGGAAUUCACGGUGUAGCAGUGAAAUGCGUAGAGAUCGUGAGGAACACUAGUGGCGAAGGCGAGAUGCUGGACACUUACUGACGCUGAGGCUCGAAGGCCAGGGUAGCGAAAGGGAUUAGAUACCCCUGUAGUCCUGGCAGUAAACGGUGCACGUUUGGUGUGAGAAGGNUCGACCCUUUUCGUGCCGGAG
RNAcentral lists this ribosomal RNA (802 nucleotides) under Verrucomicrobia bacterium SCGC AAA164-L05. RNAcentral describes it as "bacterial SSU rRNA". It matches the Rfam family "Bacterial small subunit ribosomal RNA", at positions 67 to 851 of the family's 1533-position model. The record is from RNAcentral. Lineage: Bacteria; Pseudomonadati; Verrucomicrobiota.